UCGGCUAGGGGGCCAUCCCGGCUUACCAACCCGAUGCAAACUGCGAAUACCGGAGAAUGUUAUCACGGGAGACACACGGCGGGUGCUAACGUCCGUCGUGAAGAGGGAAACAACCCAGACCGCCAGCUAAGGUCCCAAAGUCAUGGUUAAGUGGGAAACGAUGUGGGAAGGCCCAGACAGCCAGGAUGUUGGCUUAGAAGCAGCCAUCAUUUAAAGAAAGCGUAAUAGCUCACUGGUCGAGUCGGCCUGCGCGGAAGAUGUAACGGGGCUAAACCAUGCACCGAAGCUGCGGCAGCGACACUCAGGUGUUGUUGGGUAGGGGAGCGUUCUGUAAGCCUGCGAAGGUGGCCUGUGAGGGUUGCUGGAGGUAUCAGAAGUGCGAAUGCUGACAUAAGUAACGAUAAAGCGGGUGAAAAGCCCGCUCGCCGGAAGACCAAGGGUUCCUGUCCAACGUUAAUCGGGGCAGGGUGAGUCGACCCCUAAGGCGAGGCCGAAAGGCGUAGUCGAUGGGAAACGGGUUAAUAUUCCCGUACUUGGUGUUACUGCGAAGGGGGGACGGAGAAGGCUAUGUUGGCCGGGCGACGGUUGUCCCGGUUUAAGCGUGUA
RNAcentral lists this ribosomal RNA (606 nucleotides) under Salmonella enterica subsp. enterica serovar Paratyphi B. Its description in RNAcentral is "bacterial LSU rRNA". It matches the Rfam family "Bacterial large subunit ribosomal RNA", at positions 915 to 1522 of the family's 2925-position model. The record is from RNAcentral. Lineage: Bacteria; Pseudomonadati; Pseudomonadota; Gammaproteobacteria; Enterobacterales; Enterobacteriaceae.